GCAUAUCAAUAAGCGGAGGAAAAGAAACUAACAAGGAUUCCCCUAGUAACUGCGAGUGAAGCGGGAAAAGCUCAAAUUUAAAAUCUGGCGGUCUUUGGCCGUCCGAGUUGUAAUCUAGAGAAGUGUUACCCGCGUCGGACCGUGUACAAGUCUCCUGGAAUGGAGCGUCAUAGAGGGUGAGAAUCCCGUCUUUGACACGGACUACCGAGGCUUUGUGGUGCGCUCUCAAAGAGUCGAGUUGUUUGGGAAUGCAGCUCAAAAUGGGUGGUAAAUUCCAUCUAAAGCUAAAUAUUGGCGAGAGACCGAUAGCGAACAAGUACCGUGAGGGAAAGAUGAAAAGAACUUUGGAAAGAGAGUUAAACAGUACGUGAAAUUGCUGAAAGGGAAACGCUUGAAGUCAGUCGCGUUGGCCGGAAAUCAGCCUUGGUUCUCCUUGGUGUAUUUUCUGGUUGACGGGCCAGCAUCAGUUUUGACCGGUGGAAAAAGUUGGAGGGAAUGUGGCAUCUUCGGAUGUGUUAUAGCCCUCCUUCGUAUACAUCGGUUGGGACUGAGGAACUCAGCACGCCGCAAGGCCGGGGUUCGCCCACGUUCGUGCUUAGGAUGCUGGCAUAAUGGCUUUAAUCGACCCGUCUUGAAACACGGACCAAGGAGUCUAACAUGCCUGCGAGUGUUUGGGUGGAAAACCCGGACGCGUAAUGAAAGUGAAAGUCGGGAUCCCUGUCAUGGGGAGCACCGACGCCCGGACCUGACGUUCUCUGACGGUUCUGCGGUAGAGCAUGUAUGUUGGGACCCGAAAGAUGGUGAACUAUGCCUGAAUAGGGUGAAGCCAGAGGAAACUACUGGUGGAGGCUCGUAGCGAUUCUGACGUGCAAAUCGAUCGUCAAAUUUGGGUAUAGGGGGCGAAAGACUAAUCGAACCAUCUAGUAGCUGGUUCCUGCCGAA
RNAcentral lists this ribosomal RNA (942 nucleotides) under Ephemerocybe angulata. RNAcentral describes it as "LSU rRNA". It matches the Rfam family "Eukaryotic large subunit ribosomal RNA", at positions 38 to 965 of the family's 3401-position model. Lineage: Eukaryota; Fungi; Basidiomycota; Agaricomycetes; Agaricales; Psathyrellaceae. The record is from RNAcentral.